CCCCUAGUAACUGCGAGUGAAGCGGGAAAAGCUCAAAUUUAAAAUCUGGCGGUCUUUGGCCGUCCGAGUUGUAGUCUGGAGAAGUGCUUUCCGCGCUGGGCCGUGUAUAAGUCUCUUGGAACAGAGCGUCAUAGAGGGUGAGAAUCCCGUCUUUGACACGGACUACCAGUGCUUUGUGAUGCGCUCUCAAAGAGUCGAGUUGUUUGGGAAUGCAGCUCAAAAUGGGUGGUGAAUUCCAUCUAAAGCUAAAUAUUGGCGAGAGACCGAUAGCGAACAAGUACCGUGAGGGAAAGAUGAAAAGCACUUUGGAAAGAGAGUUAAACAGUACGUGAAAUUGCUGAAAGGGAAACGCUUGAAGUCAGUCGCGUUGUCUGGGACUCAGCCUUGCUUUUGCUUGGUGCACUUUCCGGAUGACGGGCCAGCAUCGAUUUUGACCGUCGGAAAAGGGCUAGGGUAAUGUGGCACCUCCGGGUGUGUUAUAGACUCUAGUCGCAUACGGCGGUUGGGAUCGAGGAACGCAGCGCGCCGUAAGGCAGGGGUUCGCCCACUUUCGCGCUUAGGAUGCUGGCGUAAUGGCUUUAAACGACCCGUCUUGAAACACGGACCAAGGAGUCUAACAUACCUGCGAGUGUUUGGGUGGAAAACCCGAGCGCGUAAUGAAAGUGAAAGUUGAGACCUCUGUCGUGGAGGGCAUCGACGCCCGGACCUGACGUUCUCUGACGGAUCCGCGGUAGAGCAUGUAUGUUGGGACCCGAAAGAUGGUGAACUAUGCCUGAAUAGGGUGAAGCCAGAGGAAACUCUGGUGGAGGCUCGUAGCGAUUCUGACGUGCAAAUCGAUCGUCAAAUUUGGGUAUAGGGGCGAAAGACUAAUCGU
This 874-nucleotide ribosomal RNA is filed under the name Sanguinoderma elmerianum. RNAcentral describes it as "partial 28S ribosomal RNA". It matches the Rfam family "Eukaryotic large subunit ribosomal RNA", at positions 77 to 938 of the family's 3401-position model. The record is from RNAcentral. Lineage: Eukaryota; Fungi; Basidiomycota; Agaricomycetes; Polyporales; Polyporaceae.